Molecule: long non-coding RNA, 644 nt
Filed under: Brachypodium distachyon (stiff brome)
Lineage: Eukaryota; Viridiplantae; Streptophyta; Magnoliopsida; Poales; Poaceae
Description: long non-coding RNA (BDIS_LNC004676)
Source: RNAcentral
UACACUUGUGUUCUUCUUCCAGGAUUCUUGCUCAAUUUCAGGCAAUUGAGUACUCCAGCCAAGCAGCCCUUCCUUGACCAUGUUGAUUAUACCUAUCGCCUAUCCCUCAAUCUUGCAUUAAGUUACGAUCUCAGUCUUGUCACGAUCCCUCUAGGUUGCAUAGCUUAUUAGUCAGCUCUCCUUAUUGCCCUAUGUCUUGUUACUUGUCCUAUUACCAUGUCACAUGUUUGUUGUUGCCCUGGUUGGUCAUUAGAAGUCUUGCUUAGAUGACUAGUCUAGUGUCCUAACUUGGGGUUAUACAAUUGCUACAUCCACAUGCUACAUUCUGUAUUUAAUUGCAAUUAUUAAACUGUGACCUAUUAUUACCUGCACAAGGCAACGAUGGGAGGCCGUGCUAACGCAUUGGUGUUUUGUUCAAUUGGCGCCGACCUAAGGACUGAGUUCUCGUUUUCGCCGACCGAAGAAACUUCACGCUAACCGCUCGUGGGAGAAUAUAUGGGUUCCCCCUUGGCUUAGUACUCGUUUCAUAGCUCCUCCAGGAGCCAUAUAGUUUGGGCGUUCCAUUUGGCAUUUGCAUUGCAUGCACACAGAGAUUCGUGGAGACUUGUUGGUGACUUUGCAUUCAUAUAGGAUUGCGGCACUAG